GUGGGGAAUAUUGGACAAUGGGCGAAAGUCUGAUCCAGCCAUGCCGCGUGUGUGAAGAAGGUCUUCGGAUUGUAAAGCACUUUAAGUUGGGAGGAAGGGCAGUAAGUUAAUACCUUGCUGUUUUGACGUUACCGACAGAAUAAGCACCGGCUAACUUCGUGCCAGCAGCCGCGGUAAUACGAAGGGUGCAAGCGUUAAUCGGAAUUACUGGGCGUAAAGCGCGCGUAGGUGGUUUUGUAAGUUGGAGGUGAAAUCCCCGGGCUCAACCUGGGAACUGCCUCCAAAACUGCAUGACUAGAGUACGGUAGAGGGUAGUGGAAUUUCCUGUGUAGCGGUGAAAUGCGUAGAUAUAGGAAGGAACACCAGUGGCGAAGGCGACUACCUGGACUGAUACUGACACUGAGGUGCGAAAGCGUGGGGAGCAAACAGGAUUAGAUACCCCGGUAGUCC
RNAcentral lists this ribosomal RNA (450 nucleotides) under uncultured bacterium. Its description in RNAcentral is "partial 16S ribosomal RNA". It matches the Rfam family "Bacterial small subunit ribosomal RNA", at positions 354 to 796 of the family's 1533-position model. The record is from RNAcentral.